GACGAACGCUGGCGGCGUGCUUAACACAUGCAAGUCGAACGGAAAGGCCCUGCUUUUGUGGGGUGCUCGAGUGGCGAACGGGUGAGUAACACGUGAGUAACCUGCCCUUGACUUUGGGAUAACUUCAGGAAACUGGGGCUAAUACCGGAUAGGAGCUCCUGCUGCAUGGUGGGGGUUGGAAAGUUUCGGCGGUUGGGGAUGGACUCGCGGCUUAUCAGCUUGUUGGUGGGGUAGUGGCUUACCAAGGCUUUGACGGGUAGCCGGCCUGAGAGGGUGACCGGCCACAGAGGGAUAGGGGAGGGGCCAGGAGGGCUACGGGAGGCAGGGGCGGGAAAUAUACGAAAAAGGGCGGAGGGCGGAUGGAGGAACGCCGGGUGGGGAAUGACGGCUUUCGGGUAGGAACCCACUUGCACGUGUCACGGAGCGUGUGGAAGGUAAAUAGGUAAAGAGGCACGGGCUAAUUCGGU
Molecule: ribosomal RNA, 467 nt
Filed under: uncultured bacterium
Lineage: Bacteria
Description: partial 16S ribosomal RNA
Rfam family: Bacterial small subunit ribosomal RNA
Source: RNAcentral